AAGGUUAUGCUUUCAGGGAUCAUUUCUCUAGUUGGUGACUGGAGAAGGGUGGUUGUCAAAGCCUGGUCUUGCUAACCAUGAUGAGGAACUGUAGUGUUUCUUUCUGAGCAUGACAAUGGCUGAAAAUGCUGUUUUGUGGCAACUGCUUUCUGCUGUGGAAAAGUGUUUUGCUUUUCCUGGGAAGAGCAGGGGAAAGAAACACAGUCUGAGUGGU
Gopherus agassizii (Agassiz's desert tortoise) is the source of this 214-nucleotide small nucleolar RNA. Its record names the gene U3. It matches the Rfam family "Small nucleolar RNA U3". From Rfam's summary of the family: Small nucleolar RNAs (snoRNAs) are involved in the processing and modification of rRNA in the nucleolus. There are two main classes of snoRNAs: the box C/D class, and the box H/ACA class. NCBI's taxonomy places the organism in Eukaryota, Metazoa, Chordata, Testudines, Testudinidae. The record is from Ensembl.